UACGGGGGGGCAAGCGUUGUUCGGAAUUACUGGGCGUAAAGGGCUCGUAGGCGGCCAACUAAGUCAGACGUGAAAUCCCUCGGCUUAACCGGGGAACUGCGUCUGAUACUGGAUGGCUUGAGUGUGGGAGAGGAAUGCGGAAUUCCAGGUGUAGCGGUGAAAUGCGUAGAUAUCUGGAGGAACACCGGUGGCGAAGGCGGCAUUCUGGACCAUUACUGACGCUGAGGAGCGAAAGCCAGGGGAGCCAACGGGGAU
This 255-nucleotide ribosomal RNA is filed under the name uncultured bacterium. RNAcentral's name for it is "partial 16S ribosomal RNA". It matches the Rfam family "Bacterial small subunit ribosomal RNA", at positions 524 to 779 of the family's 1533-position model. The record is from RNAcentral.